CCGUAAGUUUGUGAACUCUUGCCUACUCAUCCUCAAAUGCUAAUCUGCUUAAUACUCCUCACAGCCAGGUGAGUCUUAUUUUCUGACUGCUACAGAAGAAAACAUGAUUAAAAAUAAGAAGCUUGUCAAUGCAGCAAUAAGAAGACGGGACCUGUCAAAGAUGCUUAUUUGGGUUUCACUGGCUUCCUGCCUCCUAUCACAUCAUGAUGGUUUCAGUAUGGGGGUACUCUUCUCUUCGUCUAUGGU
This is a long non-coding RNA of Podarcis raffonei (Aeolian wall lizard), 246 nucleotides long. RefSeq lists it as uncharacterized. Lineage: Eukaryota; Metazoa; Chordata; Lepidosauria; Squamata; Lacertidae. The record is from RefSeq and is a predicted model, not a curated record. The transcript is spliced from 3 exons.